GACGAACGCUGGCGGCGUGCCUAAUACAUGCAAGUCGAACGCACUCUCGUUAGAUUGAAGAAGCUUGCUUCUGAUUGAUAACAUUUGAGUGAGUGGCGGACGGGUGAGUAACACGUGGGUAACCUGCCCUAAAGUGGGGGAUAACAUUUGGAAACAGAUGCUAAUACCGCAUAAAACCUAGCACUGCAUGGUGCAAGGUUGAAAGAUGGUUUCGGCUAUCACUUUAGGAUGGACCCGCGGUGCAUUAGUUAGUUGGUGAGGUAAAGGCUCACCAAGACCGUGAUGCAUAGCCGACCUGAGAGGGUAAUCGGCCACACUGGGACUGAGACACGGCCCAGACUCCUACGGGAGGCAGCAGUAGGGAAUCUUCCACAAUGGACGAAAGUCUGAUGGAGCAACGCCGCGUGAGUGAAGAAGGUUUUCGGAUCGUAAAACUCUGUUGUUGGAGAAGAACGUAUUUGAUAGUAACUGAUCAGGUAGUGACGGUAUCCAACCAGAAAGCCACGGCUAACUACGUG
Molecule: ribosomal RNA, 518 nt
Filed under: Latilactobacillus curvatus
Lineage: Bacteria; Bacillati; Bacillota; Bacilli; Lactobacillales; Lactobacillaceae
Description: bacterial SSU rRNA
Rfam family: Bacterial small subunit ribosomal RNA
Source: RNAcentral